GUAUCAUGAUGGGGACAUUUCCUGAGUAACUCCUUAAAUCUUUCCUAUGCAUCAUACAAACUCCCAUCUUCAAGUUGAUGGAAAGAUGUGAUCUCAUUCCUUAAUUU
The sequence is a small nucleolar RNA, 107 nucleotides long. It matches the Rfam family "Plant small nucleolar RNA R71". Rfam says of the family: R71 is a member of the C/D box family of snoRNAs containing the C (UGAUGA) and D (CUGA) box motifs. Multiple nearly identical copies of this snoRNA have been identified in Arabidopsis, and it is thought to function as a 2'-O-ribose methylation guide for 18S ribosomal RNA. The record is from Rfam.